RNAcentral lists this long non-coding RNA (1961 nucleotides) under Podarcis lilfordi (Lilford's wall lizard). Lineage: Eukaryota; Metazoa; Chordata; Lepidosauria; Squamata; Lacertidae. The record is from RNAcentral.
GGUGUCUGCGGCAGCCAUCUUUGUUGAUGUGUCAGCUUUCAGUUCCUCUUAGGAGCUUGCAGCAGGAACAAGGGGAGGAGGGAAGGACGACCCCUCGUUACUAUUAGCAAUGGGAGGGCAGCUACGCUCGCCCAAGAUCUUCUGCUUUCCAGCUUCCUAGCAAACUGGUAAGAGCUAUCCUGGCAGGGCGGGUGUUCAGACGUGGUUUUUUGGAAACACAAGCAAUGUGGAUUGAUGUGGCUUGCGAGAGCACCUGUUAUUAGGCAGGAGGAGUGGGGUGGGGAUGGCAGAUCUAGCUUGGUGUGUUUUGUUUCUCAAUUGCUUCUUUAGAGUUUGGAAUGGUUUCGAUGCCCCCGAUGCUGAACCUUCUAAGGUGCUUCCCGGCAUGUUUCCUCCCUCCCUCCCUGCGGAACAUUUCUUAGCAUAGUAAAACUAGGCUGCUUGUCCGUGUUAGGUUUUUGUUUUUUUCCAUUUCUUUUAUUUAACCACAUUUUUGGCUAAAAGAUGGACUGGAGUCCCCCUCUAGAAAUUGAAAUACAAAACUGGUGUACCUGCUUUACCAGGAAGUGAAAUAAUAGGUGAGUACCUUGCCCUCAAGGUCACACAGGCACGCACACAUACACAUCAUUGUAUCAUAUUGUCUGAAUUCCCCUGCUGGUUCACAUUUCAGAGAUGCCUUUGUACAGGUGUGUGGGUGUCAGCUGUCAUUAGAAAGCUUGUCUGUCUGGUAGGCUUUUUGUUUAUACAUCAAAAGUUGUCAGGUGGCCAAAUUGCUCAGGACCUUUAACAUUUUGACCCCAAAUACUUACGGUUGUUCUCUGAAUGUGACACCUUUUAUGAAUACACACCAUCAGUCUUAACAAGAAUUGCUUAAUAAAGUAUUGUUCUGUCCCAUGCAAAGCUUGGGGAGGGAUUGUAUUUACUGGUUUCAGCUUUAUUGAUGUCAGUUUAUUGUGAGAUGUGGAAUUUGUCUAAAUGUAGUAUAGGAGCAGACAAUGCAAUACUUUCAUUCAGUUAAGCAUCGUAGCUCUUCUUGGUUCAUCUGCUGUGCUUUUCUGUUCUGCAUAAUUAGCUUGCAUCUGAGGCUUUUCUCAAUGGAAAAUGUUUCUUGCCAUUUGUACUUGCUUCAAAGCAUUGAGAUUAGGAAAGCUUUUUUUCUAUCUUGGUUUCUGCUUUUUCUUUCUUCUGUUAUCAGUUAGUAGCCUUUAGAUAUUGCACAGCAAGUGUUUUUGCUAAUCAUCCUCCUGAGAUUUAGAGCCUGAUUCUAUAUCCCUGUUUGUUUAGGAGUAAUGCUACUGAAUUCACAGGCAUUUACUGCCAGGUAAGUGUGCAUAGGACUGCAGCCUUUGUUAUUGUCUUUGAUUUUGAGCUAUUAACAAUGGGCUCUAUGGCUUCCAUGUUGGAAAACCAGAAGGCCUUAUUGCCUGUAAAACCAUACAACAUUAUGAAUGGUCACUUACAUUAUGGCCCUAUCCCAGAAAGCAGUUUGUUCACAAAACCAUUCCACACAGUUUUUCCACAGUAUAUUUUAAUGCUGCUACAAGUGUCUUCCUGGGCUGACUGUGACAGAGAUAAAAUCCUAUGUACUGAAGCAUUUGUUUCAGUAAAGUGCCUUUUUUCAUUUUGGGGUGGGUCGGUGCCUUUCCCUUUGUUAAUAACAUUAUAUAUAUUAAAAUUAGAGUUUGGUUUUUGAUGUAUAAGAAUCCACAUAGCUUAGGUAAAGGUUAGGGUUGUCUUGUAUUUCAUUUUUGAUCUGUACACUUGAUAAUUGUUGUGGGCCAUGCAAACAAAAGAACUGUUAUUUGAAAGCUUUGCUGUGAUGUGAUUCUAAGGCCAGCUGGUAUGAGCUGCUGCUACUAGAUCUGUUUAUUUUUAAAAUCUUUCUAGGCAAAAGAGAUAUUCAAGCCAGGUUCCCAAAAUAGCAAAAAAAGUGCAACAUUUAUUAACAUUAAAGGAUAUGU